This 199-nucleotide non-coding RNA is filed under the name Tissierella praeacuta. Its description in RNAcentral is "T-box sequence". It matches the Rfam family "T-box leader". Rfam says of the family: Uncharged tRNA acts as the effector for transcription antitermination of genes in the T-box leader family. T-boxes are found upstream of many aminoacyl-tRNA synthetase genes and some amino acid biosynthetic genes usually in Gram-positive bacteria. The record is from RNAcentral. Lineage: Bacteria; Bacillati; Bacillota; Tissierellia; Tissierellales; Tissierellaceae.
UAUAAUACAUUGAAAAGGAAGAGUAGUUAAAUUACUUAGUUAUAGAGAGUCAGUGAAAGGUGGAAAGCUGACACUAAUAUUUAAUGAAGACACCUUGGAGUAGAUAAUCUAUAAGAUUAAUUCGCAGAAAUGCGUUAAAUUUUUGAGUGAGGAAAUACCUAAUUAGGGUGGUACCGCGAGAUAGCCUCUCGUCCCUGGA